AUUGAACGCUGGCGGCAGGCCUAACACAUGCAAGUCGAGCGGCAGCGGGACCUUCGGGUUGCCGGCGAGCGGCGGACGGGUGAGUAAGGCCUAGGAAUCUGCCCGUUAGUGGGGGAUAACGCGGGGAAACUCGCGCUAAUACCGCAUACGUCCUACGGGAGAAAGCGGGGGCUCUUCGGACCUCGCGCUAACAGAUGAGCCUAGGUCGGAUUAGCGAGUUGGUGGGGUAAUGGCCCACCAAGGCGACGAUCCGUAACUGGUCUGAGAGGAUGGUAAGUCACACUGGAACUGGGACACGGUCCAGACUCCUACGGGAGGCAGCAGUGGGGAAUAUUGGACAAUGGGCGAAAGCCUGAUCCAGCCAUGCCGCGUGUGUGAAGAAGGUCUUCGGAUUGUAAAGCACUUUAAGUCGGGAGGAAGGGCUGUAGGCUAAUACCUUGCAGUUUUGACGUUACCGACAGAAUAAGCACCGGCUAACUUCGUGCCAGCCGCCGCAGUAA
RNAcentral lists this ribosomal RNA (500 nucleotides) under uncultured bacterium. RNAcentral describes it as "partial 16S ribosomal RNA". It matches the Rfam family "Bacterial small subunit ribosomal RNA", at positions 29 to 523 of the family's 1533-position model. The record is from RNAcentral.